AAUAAUAUUAUAUUAGGAAAUGGACUCUUGGGAGGAUCAAGUUUGAAGAUUCAUAUUAGAUGAGGAAGAAGAGGACGACGAACUAUUUCUAGAUGAUGGGAUUUUGGUCAUUCCAACUGCUUUGGGAUGCUAAGGAACUCUCAUCUGAAAGAUACAAUUCUCAGACAUUGUGCCUUUCAUCUUUAGCGAGUAUGUCAGGGUGUUGCCAGGCAAGGAAGAAUGCUGCUAUAUUCGACAAGUAACAAGGAUGAAUGAUGAAUCAGAAAUCUCAACUCUUCCAUUUUUUGGAUGCAUUCUCCUGAAGGAAUCUAUUUUGAUGCCAGUUUCAUACGCUGCUGAAAGCACUAUGUGGACGUAGUGCUUGAACGAUAUUGUGUCCUAGUUACGCGCAUCUCUAUUGGAUGAUGACAGGAAUAGAUUGGCGCUAGUCUACUCUAUGAUAUCAACUUGCUCCUGAAGCCUGAAUUCAUGAUGCAAUAAAUUUAUUCUGAUUUUCUCAAGCAUUUUCUUGAAA
Long non-coding RNA from Panicum virgatum (switchgrass), 514 nucleotides. RefSeq lists it as uncharacterized. NCBI's taxonomy places the organism in Eukaryota, Viridiplantae, Streptophyta, Magnoliopsida, Poales, Poaceae. The transcript has 3 exons. The record is from RefSeq and is a predicted model, not a curated record.